Molecule: long non-coding RNA, 1168 nt
Organism: Lactuca sativa (garden lettuce)
Lineage: Eukaryota; Viridiplantae; Streptophyta; Magnoliopsida; Asterales; Asteraceae
Source: RefSeq, a predicted model, not a curated record
UUGUACCGAUCAACAAAACAACAAUUACAAUUAGGAUUAUUGAGCUAUCUUUUUUACAAGCAAUUAGCCCAAUUGCUAAUUUAUCAAAUUAAGUUUUAUUUUGGGCUUUAGGGCUUUAGACAAUUGAACUAUUAUACAAUAAUUGAACAAAACAUUUGGCUCAUUAUUAUUAUUUUUUUCGUUUGGUAAUUCCCGAAAGAGUGACAAUAUUUUUUUUAUGUAGUUGCACAAUUUUUUUAGUAGUUGCACGAUUUUUUUUACGUAGUGGCACAAUAGGUAAAAAUUUUAAAAAAAGAAAAUUCUACAUCGUGCGCGGAAGCUAGGUGUUGUCGGUGCCACACCGGGCACCGACCUAGGACCGCCCCUGAACCUAUAUAGUUUUUAAGAAACCCAUAUAUGACCUAAACAGGUUGACGGAUUGGCGGGUUGACAGAUUGAAGAACUCAACGCAAACAAGUUUAUUUCUGCAGUGUCGGGAGACCUAAAGUUAUAUAUAUGCAUCACAAAAAUUUCACAAGGAUUUUUUACAUGGCUUCACAUGGAUAACCAACGUGUUUCCUUUGGCUCAUUGAUUUGAUAAUAGAUCCGAUGGCUGAAACAGACUCCAAAAAGACCUGAUCAAUCUUCAUCCACACUUUUCUCGAUCGAAUGCCUUUCUCCCUUCAGCCUCACCAUCUACUAGUGUCGUCUCCAACAUCCAUCAUCAGAACCAGAUCUAGCUUAGUCUAUUCACCAACACCACACUUUCCGUUGACCCUAACACCACCACUUUCUCUACCAUAUUUUACAGCCAGCACCUCCUUCCCUCACCGCGAUCGACCUCAACCCAUCUCCUACAUCUGAUCACCUGCUACCCGCGCCACCACCUUCUUCGACCACCAAAAUUUGUUCCCUACCCUGCCUCACUAGCGACCAUCAUCAAGAUACGACCAUCUACAUAUUGUCUUGUGUGGAGGUCUUUGGAGACAAGAAAGAUAUGUAGGGGUAUUUAGUCAUUUGGACAAAAGAGCUUUGAAAUUGCAUAUUAUAUAUAAAUGUAACACUCUGAUACUAUAUACCUUAAAAUGAUUAUUUCUGUAUAUUUUUAGUCUUGAUUACUUCUAUUUCACCAUUGUCCUUUUACAAUUAUAAAGUUGGUAUUCUUUAAGCCUACUUGGCGUUUAUUCCA